UACGUAGGGCCCAAGCGCUAUCCGGAUUUACUGGGCGUAAAGAGUUGCGUAGGUGGCAAUGUAAGUAAAUAGUGAAAUCCUGGGGCUCAACCCCUUCAACAUUAUUUAAACUGCAUAGCUAGAGUAUGGGAGAGGUAGAUGGAAUUUCUAGUGUAGGAGUGAAAUCCGUAGAUAUUAGAAGGAACACCGAUGGCGUAGGCAGUCUACUGGCCCAUUACUGACACUAAGGCACGAAAGCGUGGGGAGCGAACGGG
Molecule: ribosomal RNA, 254 nt
Filed under: uncultured bacterium
Lineage: Bacteria
Description: partial 16S ribosomal RNA
Rfam family: Bacterial small subunit ribosomal RNA
Source: RNAcentral